UAUUCUCUGGUUAGGACAUUGUGAUAUAAUGUGUCCAUCACCUAAACACCUGAAGUAUUUGAUGGUGCUAUGUUUUGGAUUAAAAUAAGGUUUUUUAGGAUUACCUUCAGUGUCAGUCUAUUUUACUCUAGUCCCCUUGCCCUUAAAUAUCUCAUAUUUACUUGACCAUCUUGAGCUAUAUUGGUGGGGGGAUUUGACAUUCUUCUGGGGGGGCUCCUUAUGCUUAAGUAGCUUCUCAACUUUCAUAAGCAUGUGCAUUAUGUCUUCUAACUCAUGUAAUGUUACAAUUCGAUUGCAUUAAAAAUUUCUUGGUUUAGGCUAGUUAUGAACUGUGCCAUAAAGGCUUUGGGAUCUUCAUCUAUAUUGGUCCUGAUUAUUGUCAUCUUGAUCUCCUUGUGUUGAUCUUCCAUGGAUAUGGAUUGUUGUGUUAGGUUUUGUAACUUUUGAUGCAUCUCCCUGUGAUAGUAAGAAGGUACAUAUCUCUUUCCCCUAAUAGAUUUCAUCUCCCUCCAUGUUGAGACAUGUUGGUCUCCAUUGCACCUUCUUCUAGUUAGUAGCUGAUCCCACCAUACUAGUGCAUAGUUGGUGAAUUCUAUAAUGAAUAGUUUUGCCUUUUUUUCUUCAUUGUAGUUAUGAAAGUCAAAGAUGAGCUCUAUCUUUCAGUCCUAUUCUAGGUAGGUUUCGGCAUCAUUUCGUUUCUUAAAAAGUAAAAUAUUCAUUUGAUAGAGCUGAUUUUGCUAUCUCUCAUGAUCUCCCUUCAGUAAUCUCGAUCAUCAUCUUUUUCAUUCUCAUCAUAAGAUUUGACAUCAUCCUGUGGGGCUGGUGCCUUGUCCGGACCAAACUAUUGUUUCUCUACCUCCUUUCAUCAAUCCUUGCUUCUAGAUUUAUAAUUGCCAGAACAAAUUAUGUAAACAAGUUGUUUAGAUACUCCCUC
This 934-nucleotide long non-coding RNA is filed under the name Carica papaya (papaya). RNAcentral's name for it is "long non-coding RNA (CPAP_LNC009825)". The record is from RNAcentral. Lineage: Eukaryota; Viridiplantae; Streptophyta; Magnoliopsida; Brassicales; Caricaceae.